CACCUCAAAGAGUCGAUUUAAAGAUCCGAUUCUAAGAGCCGACUCUUUUGUGAAACAUGGCAUCAUGUUGUUAUUAUCUCAGAGAAAACGCAAAGCGGUUGUCUGAGAUUUGAAUUUGAGUAGAUUUUAAUGACAGCCCUAUUCAGACUGGAUUUGUUUCAUAUGCAGUGGAAAUAACUUCAGUAUAAAGACACUCCAGGAAGCAAACGGUUUUCUGUCAUCUCAUGCUGAAAACAAAAACUUAUAAAUAAAAUAUAAUAUACACAAUGUUUAAAAUGAAGAAAAGGAAGAGGAAAAAGGAAAGCAGAAAGCACUGUGAUGGAUCAAAGUACUUUUCCAUCACUUGGCCUGAUUUCAGCACAUGGACUCUAACUGUGCAUUAUGGCUGCCGCAGGUAGCACCAGAACGUCCUUCAUCUAUUCGAAGCGAUCACUGCUUGAAGGGGAUAAAGAACAUUGCAGUGCCGUGAUUAUCAGGAUUCCUCUCUUGGUUUGUUUCUUGCAGUAAUUUCUUGUGGUGAUCAAGCAUUGGUGAGUGCAAAAGUUUUUACACUCUUACUUAAAGUCGAUGACUCCAAAAUGAGAGUUUUAUAGCCGUUACGUCAUUAGAGCAAGUAGCAGAAAUGGCCAAAAUGAUAUAAAUAUUAAUAGUGAAACAAUCAAAAGAAUUUGUUGUUUGCUUUGGAUGUUUUUUUGCUAUUUAUUUAUUAAAUAAUUUUUUCCUCAUCUUUUUUUUUUUUCCCCUCUCUGUCUCUUCUCCCAUGUCUGAAUUAUGGUUUUCACUGUUGGAAACACUCUCCCUAAACACAUUUUUCUCUUUUUUUUUUUUUUUUUUUUCCCCUUCCUAAAAGAUCUUUUUUUUUUUUUUUUUUAAUCCCUUUCUCCAGCUCUAUGACAGGUAAGCAUGGUUAUGUUUUGUUAGAUGAGAUUUUAUGAUUCCCACUGACUGAAAGUUUAGACCCAUUUUACGUAAAGUAUAGAAUACGCCAUAUUGUGCUGUUACAGGAAAUUAAUCAGUGAUGAGGUGGAGUGAUGAGGCACGGUUACUGUUACCAUCCAAAAUUUGUUUGUUUCGAUCACACUUUUUUUUUUUAUAUGUUUAUAGUUACGUUUAAUGUUGUGGAAUGUCCAGAAAUGUUAGUUCCUGUUCUCACUUAUGUUAUAGCAGCUAUAAACAGUUGUUCCCCUUUCUUUUUCUCUCCCUUGAAGUUAAUAAGACAAAAUAAACACAGCUUAUCAUGUUA
Molecule: long non-coding RNA, 1243 nt
Organism: Pangasianodon hypophthalmus (striped catfish)
Lineage: Eukaryota; Metazoa; Chordata; Actinopteri; Siluriformes; Pangasiidae
Exons: 5
Source: RefSeq, a predicted model, not a curated record